Molecule: long non-coding RNA, 268 nt
Organism: Gossypium raimondii (Peruvian cotton)
Lineage: Eukaryota; Viridiplantae; Streptophyta; Magnoliopsida; Malvales; Malvaceae
Exons: 2
Source: RefSeq, a predicted model, not a curated record
UUUAGAUCAAGAACCAAAGAAAUCGAAGCUAGAUCGGGGAAAAACCAAAAUCGUCACUAAUUAUCCGAUUUUAAUUUUUCACAGUCCGAGAUUUUGGAGUCACGUUACGAGCUCGGGGAUCAUCAGCAUAGUCUAUCACACUAUCGACUUCUUUUGGUAUUUUGUUAAAGUUUGAACUUUAUCUUAUGGCAUGUAUAGGCUUGAUUAUGUUUUUGGUUAGUUUUGGAUCAUUAAUAUAUAAAUAGCCAUGCGAAAAUGGUUUAAUUUC